ACGGAGGGCGCAAGCGUUGUUCGGAAUCAUUGGGCGUAAAGCGCGUGUAGGCGGCUUGGCAAGUCGGAUGUGAAAUCCCGGGGCUCAACCCCGGAACUGCAUUCGAAACUGCCUCGCUAGAGUCCCGGAGAGGAGGGCGGAAUUCCCGGUGUAGAGGUGAAAUUCGUAGAUAUCGGGAGGAACACCAGUGGCGAAGGCGGCCCUCUGGACGGUGACUGACGCUGAGAUGCGAAAGCGUGGGGAGCAAACAGGAUUAGAUACCCUGGUAGUCCACGCUGUAAACGUUGGGUGCUAGGUGUCGCGGGUAUUGACCCCUGCGGUGCCGACGCUAACGCAUUUAGCACCCCGCCUGGGGAGUACGGUCGCAAGGCUA
RNAcentral lists this ribosomal RNA (373 nucleotides) under uncultured bacterium. Its description in RNAcentral is "bacterial SSU rRNA". It matches the Rfam family "Bacterial small subunit ribosomal RNA", at positions 525 to 896 of the family's 1533-position model. The record is from RNAcentral.